UACGGAGGGUGCAAACGUUGCUCGGAAUCAUUGGGCGUAAAGCGCACGUGGGCGGCCCGGUAAGUCGGAUGCGAAAGCCCCCGGCUCAACUGAGGAAGUGCAUUCGAAACUGCUGGACUUGAGUACGGGAGAGGGAUGCGGAAUUCCCGGUGUAGAAGUGAAAUUCGUAGAUAUCGGGAGGAACACCAGUGGUGAAGGCGGCAUCCUGGACCGAUACUGACGCUGAGGUGCGAAAGCGUGGGGAGCAAUCAGG
RNAcentral lists this ribosomal RNA (253 nucleotides) under uncultured bacterium. Its description in RNAcentral is "partial 16S ribosomal RNA". It matches the Rfam family "Bacterial small subunit ribosomal RNA", at positions 524 to 776 of the family's 1533-position model. The record is from RNAcentral.